GAAUGAAGAGGGGACUUAGCUGGUACCCCUUUCAUCUUGUUGCUGCAGCACUGAACACUACACCCUUUUCCUCAGCAGCAUGCAGAUGAGGACCCAACAUCCAUACUUUCUGUGAACCUGUUGUGAUAGCCGUGAGGAUAACCAGGGUUGAGAACCAGCUGUUGGCUUGGCCAGCUCUUUCCAGUUUGGCUUCCUGACAACCUUCUGCUGUCAAGACGCCUGCAUUUACUUGCAUUGUGUCUGAUUUUCAGCAGAUCCCUAUCUGAGGCCUAUUCCUCCCGUCUGUUACCCAGCUGGGAUCUGUCCUGGUGUGGUUGGUACCACAGACUCAGAAGAUAAUGAAGUUCCCUGCACCAAAGGUCAGAGAUGGUCAGAGAUCCUGAAUGUCCAGCAGUUUACAACACAUGGGGAUGACACCACCAGUGCCCACAGCUGUGUUUAUAGACAUAAAAUUAGUUUGUGUAAACACAUCAUCA
Molecule: long non-coding RNA, 476 nt
Organism: Tyto alba (common barn owl)
Lineage: Eukaryota; Metazoa; Chordata; Aves; Strigiformes; Tytonidae
Exons: 3
Source: RefSeq, a predicted model, not a curated record